ACUCUGUGAGUUGAACGAACACAUCACAACGCAGUUUGUGGGAAUGAUUCUGUCUAGUUUUGAAACGAAGAUAUUUCCUUUUCUGCCUUUGGCCUCAAAGCGCUUGAAAUCUCCACUUGCAAAUUCCACAAAAAGAGUGUUUCAAAUCUGCUCUGUCUAAAUGAAAGUUCAACUCUGUCAGUUGAAUACACACAACACAAGGAA
RNAcentral lists this long non-coding RNA (204 nucleotides) under Homo sapiens (human). RNAcentral's name for it is "HSALNT0326442". Lineage: Eukaryota; Metazoa; Chordata; Mammalia; Primates; Hominidae. The record is from RNAcentral.